RNAcentral lists this ribosomal RNA (444 nucleotides) under uncultured bacterium. Its description in RNAcentral is "bacterial SSU rRNA". It matches the Rfam family "Bacterial small subunit ribosomal RNA", at positions 354 to 796 of the family's 1533-position model. The record is from RNAcentral.
GUAGGGAAUAUUGGGCAAUGGUCGGAAGACUGACCCAGCCAUGCCGCGUGCAGGAAGACGGCCCUCUGGGUUGUAAACUGCUUUUAUCUGGGAAGAAAAAGGCCAUGCGUGGCAAAUUGCCGGUACCAGAUGAAUAAGCACCGGCUAACUCCGUGCCAGCAGCCGAGGUAAUACGGAGGGUGCGAGCGUUGUCCGGAUUUAUUGGGUUUAAAGGGUGCGUAGGCGGCUGAUUAAGUCAGCGGUGAAAGACUUCGGCUUAACCGGAGCAGUGCCGUUGAUACUGGUUGGCUUGAGUGUCGGAGGGGUACAUGGAAUUGAUGGUGUAGCGGUGAAAUGCAUAGAUACCAUCAGGAACACCGAUAGCGAAGGCAUUGUACUGGCCGACAACUGACGCUGAUGCACGAAAGUGUGGGGAUCGAACAGGAUUAGAAACCCUAGUAGUCC